UAGCUCAGUUGGUAGAGUGCUUGCCUCACAUGUACAAGGCCCUGGGUUCAAUUCCCAG
This is a non-coding RNA of Ictidomys tridecemlineatus (thirteen-lined ground squirrel), 58 nucleotides long. The record is from Rfam. Lineage: Eukaryota; Metazoa; Chordata; Mammalia; Rodentia; Sciuridae.